This 518-nucleotide unclassified non-coding RNA is filed under the name Hevea brasiliensis (rubber tree). The record is from RNAcentral. Lineage: Eukaryota; Viridiplantae; Streptophyta; Magnoliopsida; Malpighiales; Euphorbiaceae.
UAGAGAAAAAAAACAGGUCAAUAGCCAACAUAGGUGAAACCAAAUGAACGCCAAACUAUUCCAAACAGAACGAGACAAAUAUUUAUCCAAGUUUUAUAAGGUAGUUUCGAGACUUCAAACAAAAAAAAAUAAAUAAGAAGUCCUAAGUAAGUAAGUAGAUUGGAGACAAAAGUGCAUGAUGAUUACUCGAGCUAUUCAAACUAGUCUCACAGCAUGUGCAAUAUCGGGUAAAAAUUAAUCAAGAUAAAAUCAUAUUAUGGUGAGAACAUUGGUACACCUCUAAACCUUUCUAUUAACUAGUUCAAAUAAUCAUGCCACACCUAAACAUGAAAAGCAGAUUAGCUUACAAAGUAGAAAUUAUAUACCAGGAGUAUUUGAAUGCAAAUUUUAAUAUAUAUCAAGCAGGGAAUGUAUAGGGAAAACAUGCUAAGGUACUGGAGACCAAAUAAGCAUGAAGUGAAUUCACACUAAGCAAAAUAAAUAUACACAAAAAAAGGAGACAUGGAGUAAGAUUAUUG